AUACCUUUUAAAGAUUGUCCAGAGAGGCAAGGAAGGGUAUGACAUGCAUGAAAGGAUCAUUUUUAGAAUGAUACCUUACCUUGUCACACCCUCCAAGCCUCGCUAAUGAUGAUAGCGAGGCUUAUUUAU
This is a non-coding RNA of Solibacillus silvestris StLB046, 129 nucleotides long. The record is from Rfam. NCBI's taxonomy places the organism in Bacteria, Bacillati, Bacillota, Bacilli, Caryophanales, Caryophanaceae.